AACGAACGCUGGCGGCAUGCCUAACACAUGCAAGUCGAACGAGAUCUUCGGGUCUAGUGGCGCACGGGUGCGUAACGCGUGGGAAUCUGCCCUUUGGUUCGGAAUAACAGUUGGAAACGACUGCUAAUACCGGAUGAUGACGAAAGUCCAAAGAUUUAUUGCCAGAGGAUGAGCCCGCGUAGGAUUAGCUAGUUGGUGUGGUAAAGGCGCACCAAGGCGACGAUCCUUAGCUGGUCUGAGAGGAUGAACAGCCACACUGGGACUGAGACACGGCCCAGACUCCUACGGGAGGCAGCAGUGGGGAAUAUUGGACAAUGGGCGAAAGCCUGAUCCAGCAAUGCCGCGUGAGUGAUGAAGGCCUUAGGGUUGUAAAGCUCUUUUACCCGGGAUGAUAAUGACAGUACCGGGAGAAUAAGCUCCGGCUAACUCCGUGCCAGCCGCCGCGGUAA
RNAcentral lists this ribosomal RNA (449 nucleotides) under uncultured bacterium. Its description in RNAcentral is "partial 16S ribosomal RNA". It matches the Rfam family "Bacterial small subunit ribosomal RNA", at positions 29 to 523 of the family's 1533-position model. The record is from RNAcentral.